This 611-nucleotide non-coding RNA is filed under the name Pan troglodytes (chimpanzee). The record is from RNAcentral. Lineage: Eukaryota; Metazoa; Chordata; Mammalia; Primates; Hominidae.
CUUUUCAUUCCCGUUGUUAUGGAGGGCCACAUCUGCCAGAGCCUGGAGUCUGCGAAGGCCGGGACCCGGUUCCCCGGCCCACCGUGGGGGGGGGUGUGCAAACCCGAGAGAACUGGAUUGCGUACCCACUGCAGAGUGCUGAAGACGGGGUAGCCACGAGUCAAGUCUUCACCACUUGCUGGUUCCCAGGAGUAAACUUGUCUGAACGGUGACCUAAUUGCUAUAUUCACCUAGGUUGCAAAUUCGUGAAGAAUCAGCAUCAUGUUUGGCAGCUGAGUAUUGGAGCCAGGAGCCUGCCAUGAGGUUUUGAGAACAGAGUGCUGUUUUAGAGCUGGCAGCAGCAUCUCAGCCCAAGAGAAGGUUAUAUUCCCAGAGGAUGUCAGUCCCAAGGACCAGUAGCUGCCAUCAGUUUGGAUUCUGAAAACUAACCGGCAUCAACACUGGGUGUAGAAACAUGCUUGCCUUAUGUAUCAGAGGACAUGCUCAGCAGAUCCAAGAGAUAUAUUUGGCAACUUUUUCUAGAAAAGGCACAUUGGGUAUCAUUCAUUACAUUCUUGAGUUUUUUUGGUUUUUUUUUUUUUUUUUUUUUGAGACAGUCUUGCUGUAUUGCC